CCUACGGGUGGCAGCAGUGAGGAAUAUUGGUCAAUGGACGAAAGUCUGAACCAGCCAAGUCGCGUGAAGGAUGACUGCCCUAUGAGUUGUAAACUUCUUUUAUAAAGGAGUAAAACGAGGUACGUGUGUCCUUCUGAAAGUACUUUACGAAUAAGGAUCGGCUAACUCCGUGCCAGCAGCCGCGGUAAUACGGAGGAUCCGAGCGUUAUCCGGAUUUAUUGGGUUUAAAGGGAGCGUAGAUGGGUUGUUAAGUCAGUUGUGAAAGUUUGCGGCUCAACCGUAAAAUUGCAAUUGAUACUGGCAGUCUUGAGUACAGUUGAGGUAGGCGGAAUUCGUGGUGUAGCGGUGAAAUGCUUAGAUAUCACGAAGAACUCCGAUUGCGAAGGCAGCCUACUAAACUGUGACUGACAUUGAUGCUCGAAAGUGUGGGUAUCAAACAGGAUUAGAUACCCGAGUAGUC
This 460-nucleotide ribosomal RNA is filed under the name uncultured bacterium. RNAcentral's name for it is "partial 16S ribosomal RNA". It matches the Rfam family "Bacterial small subunit ribosomal RNA", at positions 338 to 795 of the family's 1533-position model. The record is from RNAcentral.